This 467-nucleotide ribosomal RNA is filed under the name uncultured bacterium. RNAcentral's name for it is "partial 16S ribosomal RNA". It matches the Rfam family "Bacterial small subunit ribosomal RNA", at positions 28 to 507 of the family's 1533-position model. The record is from RNAcentral.
GACGAACGCUGGCGGCGUGCUUAACACAUGCAAGUCGAACGGAAAGGCCUCUUUCGGGGGGUACUCGAGUGGCGAACGGGUGAGUAACACGUGAGUAACCUGCCCUUGACUUUGGGAUAACUUCAGGAAACUGGGGCUAAUACCGGAUAGGAGCUCCUGCUGCAUGGUGGGGGUUGGAAAGUUUCGGCGGUUGGGGAUGGACUCGCGGCUUAUCAGCUUGUUGGUGGGGGAGUGGGUUACCAAGGGUUUGACGGGUAGCCGGCCUGAGAGGGUGACCGGCCACAUUGGGACUGAGGUACGGCCCAGACUCCUACGGGGGGCAGCAGGGGGGAAGAUUGCACAAUGGGUGGGAGCCUGAUGCAGGAACGGCGGGGGCGGGAUGACGGGCUUCGGGUUGGAAACCGCUUUCGCUCAUGACGAAGCUUUGUGUGACGGUAGUGGGUAAAGAAGCACCGGCUAACUACGUG